This 174-nucleotide ribosomal RNA is filed under the name uncultured bacterium. RNAcentral describes it as "partial 16S ribosomal RNA". It matches the Rfam family "Bacterial small subunit ribosomal RNA", at positions 1327 to 1500 of the family's 1533-position model. The record is from RNAcentral.
UGGAAUCGCUAGUAAUCGCGAAUCAGAAUGUCGCGGUGAAUACGUUCCCGGGUCUUGUACACACCGCCCGUCACACCAUGGGAGUCAGCAACGCCCGAAGUCAGUGACCUAACCGAAAGGGAGGAGCUGCCGAAGGCGGGGCCGGUAACUGGGGUGAAGUCGUAACAAGGUAGC